RNAcentral lists this ribosomal RNA (460 nucleotides) under uncultured bacterium. Its description in RNAcentral is "partial 16S ribosomal RNA". It matches the Rfam family "Bacterial small subunit ribosomal RNA", at positions 338 to 795 of the family's 1533-position model. The record is from RNAcentral.
CCUACGGGGGGCUGCAGUGAGGAAUAUUGGUCAAUGGGCGCGAGCCUGAACCAGCCAAGUCGCGUGAAGGAUGACUGCCCUACGUGUUGUAAACUUCUUUUAUCAAGGAAUAAAGUGGGGCACGUGUGCCUUUUUGUAUGUACUUUAUGAAUAAGGAUCGGCUAACUCCGUGCCAGCAGCCGCGGUAAUACGGAGGAUCCGAGCGUUAUCCGGAUUUAUUGGGUUUAAAGGGAGCGUAGAUGGGUUGUUAAGUCAGUUGUGAAAGUUUGCGGCUCAACCGUAAAAUUGCAAUUGAUACUGGCAGCCUUGAGUACAGGUGAGGUAGGCGGAAUGCGUGGUGUAGCGGUGAAAUGCUUAGAUAUCACGAAGAACUCCGAUUGCGAAGGCAGCUUACUAAACUGCCACUGACAUUGAUGCUCGAAAGUGUGGGUAUCAAACAGGAUUAGAUACCCUUGUAGUC